AACGUAGGAGACAAACGUUAUCCGGAGUUACUGGGCGUAAAGGGCGUGUAGGUGGUAGAGUAAGUCUGGCGUGAAAUUUUUCGGCUUAACCGGGAAAGGUCGUCGGAUACUGCUUAACUAGAGGUCGGUAGAGGCGUGUGGAAUUCCGGGUGUAGUGGUGAAAUGCGUAGAGAUCCGGAGGAACACCAGUGGCGAAGGCGACACGCUGGGCCGUACCUGACACUGAUGCGCGACAGCAUGGGGAGCAAACAGG
This 253-nucleotide ribosomal RNA is filed under the name uncultured bacterium. Its description in RNAcentral is "partial 16S ribosomal RNA". It matches the Rfam family "Bacterial small subunit ribosomal RNA", at positions 524 to 776 of the family's 1533-position model. The record is from RNAcentral.